AGUGAACGCUGGCGGUAGGCCUAACACAUGCAAGUCGAACGGCAGCACAGUAAGAGCUUGCUCUUACGGGUGGCGAGUGGCGGACGGGUGAGGAAUACAUCGGAAUCUACUUUUUCGUGGGGGAUAACGUAGGGAAACUUACGCUAAUACCGCAUACGACCUACGGGUGAAAGCAGGGGAUCUUCGGACCUUGCGCGAUUGAAUGCGCCGAUGUCGGAUUAGCUAGUUGGCGGGGUAAAGGCCCACCAAGGCGACGAUCCGUAGCUGGUCUGAGAGGAUGAUCAGCCACACUGGAACUGAGACACGGUCCAGACUCCUACGAGAGGCAGCAGUGGGGAAUAUUGGACAGUGGGCGCAAGCCUGAUCCAGCCAUACCGCGUGGGUGAAGAAGGCCUUCGGGUUGUAAAGCCCUUUUGUUGGGAAAGAAAAGCAGCAGGUUAAUACCCCGCUGUUCUGACGGUACCCAAAGAAUAAGCACCGGCUAACUUCGUG
Molecule: ribosomal RNA, 492 nt
Filed under: uncultured bacterium
Lineage: Bacteria
Description: partial 16S ribosomal RNA
Rfam family: Bacterial small subunit ribosomal RNA
Source: RNAcentral